AGUGUGAUAUCUCAGUCAGAAGUUGUUAUUGUACAUUGUUUUGUUCACUAAAGAAAUAAGCUGAACAACAUUAGA
Long non-coding RNA from Varanus komodoensis (Komodo dragon), 75 nucleotides. RefSeq lists it as uncharacterized. Lineage: Eukaryota; Metazoa; Chordata; Lepidosauria; Squamata; Varanidae. The record is from RefSeq and is a predicted model, not a curated record. The transcript has 3 exons.